ACGCUCGACACCUACGAGGCAGCAGUGAGGAAUAUUGGUCAAUGGGCGCUAGCCUGAACCAGCCAAGUAGCGUGAAGGAUGAAGGCUCUAUGGGUCGUAAACUUCUUUUAUAUAAGAAUAAAGUGCAGUAUGUAUACUGUUUUGUAUGUAUUAUAUGAAUAAGGAUCGGCUAACUCCGNGCCAGCAGCCGCGGUAAUCUGAGCGGGCUGGCAAGGC
RNAcentral lists this ribosomal RNA (216 nucleotides) under uncultured bacterium. Its description in RNAcentral is "partial 16S ribosomal RNA". It matches the Rfam family "Bacterial small subunit ribosomal RNA", at positions 326 to 539 of the family's 1533-position model. The record is from RNAcentral.